CGUCCAGUAUGAUUGAAACAAGAUGUGCUAGAUUACUAUAUAUCAUGAUAUGCUGCACACGUUUCAAACUUUACAAUCCCCAAAUCUGUUUCAAUGUUUACAAAUGCAGGUUUGGGAUACCGGUGAAUCUUUCAACUUUGCUGCACUUCAUGCAAUCAUCUGCACUCGAGGUCAUAUCCAGCGCUUGCAACUUCAUUUCUAAACAUAUUAAAACAAUUUAGCAAAACCGAUCGAAUACUCUUUUCCAGACAUAAACUGCUUGUAGACCAUCCUAAACAAGGCAUGCUCGACUAGUUAUCUGACCAACAAUUUCCCUGUAAUUGCAAUGGUAGUGGGUAGUGGCUCCUGGCUGGCUAGCAGCUACCUUUCAAGCAUUGAAUUCCAAGAAACAAUUGAAAAUUGUGUCAUUUGCAGUCUAAUAAUGGCAGAUGUUUCAGUUUGAGGACUGCAGUCAUGACUCAUUUUAAUAGAUGUCAGGGAUUUAGUGCAUAAGCUAUAAUGUUUUUAUGAUAUAAACAGGAAAAGUUCGGUUAUGACUCAGAAGAAAAGCAACUUAACUUGUUGAUGCAUCCUUACCAUCGGGUAACAAUUUUGGCGGAUGAUAGUCUGAUUGGUUCUAUUUACCACAAUCUCACAUGAGACUCUUGCCUGUAGAAAAAUUACAAUAAAGACAAUGUAAAAUCAUGAAACAGAAGACAAUUCAUUUUGAAAAAUAAGCUGCUGUAAUGAUAAGACAAUGCAGAAGCAACAAAACUUUAGAAUAUGACAUUAAUGCUUCCAUUUCAUUGUAUUUCUCUGCGCAAAGGUUUGAGAAUUGAAGUGAGGGUGCUCAAUUGCAAACUUGCCAUGAGAAGCAACACAAAAAAGGUAACUGAUUGAACCCAAAAAUGCACAUUCAAAAUGUAGUCAAAAUCAUCAAAAGGCAGAAGCAGUCUGUAUAGAACAUCUGAGACAAUAUAGCAUAUCAGCAUUUCAACACAAAAACAAGAAAUCAUGAAUCUUCAUUCUGUUUGUUUCAACUCCCAAACUUAGGACCAUUUAUCUUGUGGUCAAAAUGGAAUGUUAACAGUACAGCUCUAGAUGCUCAUUUAACAAAGGCUAUUACAUGAGUUCUUUAACCAAUGACUUCCAUAUCAAUAAGUUUCUUCUGAAAAAGGAACUGUGAGACUAAACUCCCUCAAUCACUUAUAUAAAGAAAAUAAAUAAACUGACUCUGCAAGCACAGUAAGUUUUAACGUGCUAGCUAGUAUAUUAAUCCCACAGGAUAGGGCUAACUAAUUAAUUUCCUUGAAGCAACAAACAUUUUGAGAAAUGUAGACUAAUUAGUCACAUAGCCUUGAUUCGAAGGACUAACCAUCAAAGUUCAAGAUUGAAGAAUUGAAGAUGAAAACCACUAAGCAACAAAUUUUGCUUAGAUCAUUUUCUUAGGCAAUGUUUAGUUGGCGUAAAUCAGCUUUGAUGGUUAGCCUCAAUUGAAAAUUUUCCCAGAAAACAAAUUCAGUAUGGCAAUCAACGCCACAAAAACAAACCUUUAAGCUUAAUUUAGCUAAAGAUUACAAGCAACGGAACCAGCACCAACACGUUUUAGUGCUUCGAAGAGACGCUAUCAACAUUAAUUAAACGAACCUACAUCAAGCUUCGACCUUAAUAUAGCCAGUCUUUAAACCUAUAAUAAACUAAAAAUAAAAUUAUAUAAAAUAGCAGAACAGACCCUCAUAAGAUAAAUCUUAACAUAUACAAAUGUAGGUCUUGACAAAUAAGGUCUAAUUAAGAAAGCAAAUAUAACAAUUCAAAGAAGAAAAGUUUUGGCUUUUUUACCUUCAAAGGGAACUUAAACAAGGACAGACCAAGCCAGCCUGCAACCUCCGUAACAGUAUCAAACGGGACAGUUCCCCUGGCCAAGUCCUCCAGCAUAUACACAACGUCGGACAACACUUCAACCCCAUUAAGCUCCAGCUCUGCCUGCACGUAAGACGAACCCCACGCCCUCACGUGACCAUGCUCCGACGUCACGUGCCCCAGCAUCUUCCCUCUGUACCCAACGGCCACGUCCAAGCUAGUAAAGUCCACGGAAUACACGUCCGAAUUCCUCACUUUCAAAGUAACCAACAAAGAUAUAUCUAGUGCUAUGAUGGGUAUGGUAUGCAGUUGCAUGCGGUCUACGUGCAUCCUUACAAUCUUUACUUCAGGGUCAGACGGCCAGAAAAUGUACACCGAGGUAGCUAGCAACACCAAGGAAGCCGUGCAUAGUAUCCGACAACCGCACCAACGGAGUGUCGGGCGGUAGUAGGGCAAAACUAAGUAGUUUUGAUCGGGAGGUUGAGAUGGUAAAGCAGUGAAGUAGUGGCAUGGGGACGAUGGUUCUUCCGGUGGUGGUGGUUGUUCAAGUUUUGAGAAAACCAUUGGCGUGUGAGAGAAAUGUCAGGACUUAGGACUUAGGAGUGUGUGUGUGUAAGGGAAGAGUAUGUAUGUUUAGAGGAAGGUGGGUUUUUUGUUUGCUUUCUCUUUGUUGAGUUUGCUUUGAGUGUAGCAAUCGUGAAAGUUUUGUCUUUCUCCUUUGGGUUAAAAGAAGAUAUUUGGUUUUUGUCAUGAGAUAGGAAAUAGUAAUUAGAAACCAUGUGAAUGAUUAGUUAUGUAGUGCCAACCGAUGCACCAAAAUGACACUCAAUGCUCACUGGGCCUUAUUCCUGCAUUUCUAACACUUUAAGAUGAGACCUAAACCAUUGCACCGGACAUUCUGGUGAGACAGCUGGGUCCUUAUAUGUAAGAAGAUAUGGUUGCACCAUGAUUUGUUAUGUACUAUUAACCAUACUACCAGAAGAAUCCCAAAGAGAUAAGGUUUUUUUUUUUUGAAAAAAUAAAGCAAAUAUGAAAAAUAUUUUAACUGUAUGAAAAGGAUUUGCUAUUAGAUAAUUUUUCACUGUGAGAGUUCAAAUUUGAGGUAAGACUUGAAAUCAGGAUAAAAACUACUUUUGCCAAAAAUCAUUGUCGCAACCAUUAAUGUUUGAGGAAAUUGUGAGAAAAGGACCUCGUGAUAAGGUAAUUUCAGAAAUAAUCACCUAUAUAAAGUUAUCUGUUUCUAGUAAAAAAUAAACAUGAGUAAACCAAAAUACCCUUAAAAACAUCGUUUCAAAUAAAUGCUAAGCUGUUUGAGCUAUUUGCCUCCUGCUAGAGAGAAAAUGAAAAACAUUAAAAAUAAAUGCGUGCAGCUGUUUGGACUCGAUCAUCUUUCUCUGUCUCAACUCUAGCAAGUCUUUGUUGAGCACCAUCGUUGUCAGCUCUCUCAGAUCUCUGAACUGUAUGAGCUCUGUCAACUCUCUGUUGAGCACCAUCAUCAUCGGGCUGUGGUCUAUCUCUCAGCAUCUGGUCACAUUGUCGUAGAUUAACACACCUUAUAGUAGAGAUGACAUCAAGGUACUUGUUAUUGGGUUUAUUUCUGUAACACACUUAAAUUUCUGAAACAUUUGGUGUAAAUGAUAAGAUGGAUUAGAAACAUUGCCCAGAGUUGUUACACCCCAUGCAUCUAUAACAUGAGUUAGAGUUAUUUUAGUGUGUUACGACUGUUCCUGGCGUGUUGUGGGUUAACUAGUUUUUUGGGUUGUUAGCGUGUCACGGCUAUUCCUAGGGUGUGGUGGGUUAACUGAAUUUAUGGGUUUUUGGUGUGUCACGGCUGUCCCUGGUGUGUCGUUGGUUAAUUGGUUUUUUGAGUUUUUAGCGUGUCACGGCUGUUGGUGUAACCAGUUAGUAAUUAUAGUGAUUGGCGUGUCACGACAGUGAUGCAUGGCAUGUAACGAUACUGAUGCAUGGCGUGUCACGACAUUUGACUUGAUUUGCAUGGCGUGUUACAACAUUUUACAUUAUAUGCAUGGCAUGUAACAACACGACUGACAAAUUUUUGAUCACGGCAUGUAUUGUGUAAAAUGAUUGAUAAUAUAUUUUUUUUAAAAUUUUAGUGGGGUUCCAAUUGUUCGACUUAUGAUAAGACACGGUGGUCAGUGGGUGGAUGGCAUUUACAAGGGUGGUGAGUCACGAAUACGAGGGGUUGGGAGUGAUUUGUCGUUUGUGGGCUUGAUGAAGCUGGUUGAAGAUGUUGUUGGGGUAAACUCAAAAAUUGACGAGAUUGAGUUACAUGCAUUGAUCAGUACACCCGGAGAGUUAUCACGGCCAAUUAUCAAGGACGAUGAGGAUGUUGCAUUAAUUUUGCUAGAACAGAGGAAUGUUUCGGCUGUGUAUGUUAGCAUUAAGGGACGCCAAACAAAUGUUAUGUCACAUGGAGAAGUUGGACAACAUGGUAAUCAGCUCAAUCAAAAUGAGAUUUACAAUGCUUCACAUAUACCACAGCAUUCGAUCCGUAACCCACAACAAUGGCAAUUAAGGUAUGCAUAAGAGUUUGUGCAGCUCGGUAGACAGACGACAUUCACAGAAUAGUUGGCUGCACAAUUUCGAUCAGGAUGUGCAUCAAACUAAUUUCUUGCUUCUCUUGAACAAAUGCAACAAUUGGCUGAAACUGUAGAGUGUGUAAUGCCAUUGUCAAAUGAGAAUACGACAGUUAAGGACAACAAAUGUGAGGUUGGAGGGUGACACUGCGACGCUUGAGGAUAAUACUGCAUUUGAUGAGGGAAAUGAGGAUUUGUUUGCUGUCGGUGAAGAUAGAUUUGAUGACACUUCAAAUGAUGGGCUUCAACAAUCGCAAGAUGACAGUUCAGACGAUGACUACCUUUAUGAUAGUGACAUUCCAAUUUGCAAUAAUGUUGAAGGCGAAACGAAACCUGUUGGAGGUGUUGAUGUAGGAGAUGUUUAGUGUAAUGACCCCAUAUACAAUAACCCCAUCGCUGGUGAGAACGGGAUUCGUUCCUUUGAUACAUUGCUCGAUGACAGUGAUCAGGAAAGGGGAAAUGCAGGGAUAUCUCGUACGUGGGUAAUUACAGGUGUAGAAAGGUUCUCAUUCCAAAUAAUUACCAUUGAGGAGUCGAUAUGUACCGAAGAUCGCUUAUACAAAGGAAGAAUGUUUUCGUCGAAGGCCGAGUUGAAAUGAGCUUUGAACAUGUUGGUUAUAAAAGAGAAGUUUGCGAUAAGAGUAAAAAGGUCAUGUAAAGCUCGUUAUGAGGUUAGUUGCAAGGACAAGGCAUGCAAGUUCAGUGUUCAUGCAACGAAGUUACUUGAUAGAGGAGAAUAUUAGAAAGUUCGGACAUUCCACAAAGUACACACCUGUACCGUUGAUGGUUUGCUAGGGCGGUUUCCAACUACGAGUAUGAAGAUGAUUAGUGAACUUAUGUCACACAAGAUUCGAGCUAAUGGAGUAGCAUUGAGACCUAAGGACAUAAUUUGUGAGAUGAGGGUUCAGUGGGGAUUGGAAUGCUUGGCAAGUGAAGGAGUAUGCAGAGAGGCUUGUUUUCGGUCCACAAGAAGAGUCAUUUCAACUACUACAAUCGUAUUUUUAUAUGUUGGAACAAGAAAAUCCUGGCACAGUGACUGUAGUGGCUACUGAUGAGGAAAAGAGAUUCAAAUAUUAUUUUUGGUCAUACGGGGCUUGUAUUCGGGGGUUUAGGGAUGUAAUGCGUCUUACGGUUGCAAUUGAUACUACACAUCUGAAAGGCAGGUUCGAUGGUGUUCUGUUUGUCACUGUAUGCAAAGAUGCGAACAAGUGCGUAUAUUCAGUUGCGUUUGGCAUCAGCCAUGUUGAGGACGAAGACUCGUGGACGUGGUUUCUUAGCAAGCUACGUGAUGCAGUUGGUUAUCUUGAAAACACUAUGUUCAUUUCUAAUCAGCAUCUCGGCAUUAAGAAAGCAAUCCAAAAUGCAUACCCAGAAGCGCACCAUGGUUUAUGCAGUUACCACUUGAAAAAAAAACUUUAAAAACAAGUUCAAGCGCAACGAUGUUUGUAUGCUUUUCACCCUUGCUCGAGAUUGCUAUAAGGUGGCCAAUUUCAACAGACAUAUGAACUAGAUAUAGCAGAUUCACUUGGGAGCCCAUGCAGACCUUAUGAGAAUAGGGCUUGAGAAAUGGGCACGUGCAUGUUCACCGGCAAGGCGAUACCAAAUGAUGACAUCCAACAUUGCGGAAUGUGUUAACACAUGCUUGAAGCAUGCAAGACAAAUGCCGAUCAUUGUUUUGAUCGAGUUCAUCAGAGACAUAUUCUAACGUUGGUUCCAUGAACAGUACGAGGAGGCCAUCAAGGUGACCACGCCCCUCAGCCCUUGGGUUGCCAAGCAGUUGAGUAAAAGGUUCAAUGAUGCACAUCGCUUUCUAGUUAAGCCUAUCAAUCGAGUGGAGUUCGAAGUUAAAGAUGGGAAGAUGGACGAACUUGUAAACCUGUCUAGGAAGACGUGUUCAUGUUGUGAGUUCCAAACAGAUUUACUGUCAUGCAGCCAUGCCAUUGCAGCAAUAAAGUCAAAAUAUCUUUAUUUCUUAUUUGAACCGUAAUUGACAUAGCAUUUACAUUGUGCUUGAAGAUUGAGUUUAUUGUGUUUUUUAGCAAAUGCAAUCGUGAAGCCAUUGAAUUCUGCACUGACUACUACAAGACAACCAUUUUCGUGGAGGGUUAUUCGAGAUCCAUUAGGCCGGUAGGGCAUCUUAGUGAGUGGGACAUCCCUCCUUAUGUGAAACAAAUUGUCGUCUUGCCCCUACCUUGGAGAGGCAAAGUAGGAAGACCUAGGAGGAGAAGGAUUCCAUCAGCUGGUGAAGGCAGUCGAGCACAGAGAUGUUCGCAAUGCAAGAGGUACGGGUAUAACAAACAGAACUGCCCAUCCCCAUUUGCAAUUCCAUCCACAAAUCCGACACCAUUUCCAAGUCAAUCGACGACUCCAUGACUGCACCAACCUAAAGCAUGUUCAAGUUGUAGACAAACCUGGUCACACACGCAACAACUGUCCAAUACGAAGGACAAUAUCUAAAAAUGUAGGGUGUGUUGUGAAUGAAGACAGCCUGACCGCCUAACUAAAUGUUUCUGAAAAUUGUAGUUGAAUUCGUUUUGCUUUACGGAUUUGUCUGCUCGGUCAUUCUAUGAGCCACUUUUAGUUACGGACUUUGUUGCCAAACAUUUUAGGCAGAUAAGCUUGUCAAGGCCUCUGUAUGAUCAAGAUAAUGUUAAAGUAUAUUCUUACAUUGUUUGUAAAAAUGUUUCCGAUUAUAAUCUCCAUCAGACAGGAGCCUUGACAAACUUAUCUGCUUGAAAUGUUUGGUAACAAAGUCCAUAACUAAAAGUAGCUCAUAGAAUGACCGAGCAGACAAAAUGUCAAGAUCCUCAUACUGUAUGCGUUGGAUCUGCAAAACAUGGCACAAAUGCACCAGUGAGUUAAGCCAUAAUGUGCAACAAGGUAUACAGAAGAAAUAAAUAAGGAAUAAAUAUGAGACACGCCAUGCAUAACAAGUAAAAUGUUGUGACACGUCGUGCAUAUCAAAUAAAAUAUUGUGACACGCCAUGCAUAACAAGAAAAAUUUUAUGACACGACAUGCAUAACAAGUUAAACGUUGUGACACACCAUGCAUAACAGGUUAAUCGUUGUGACAUGCCAUGCAUAACAAGUAAAUUGUGCUGACACGCCAUGCAUAACAAGUUAAACGUUGUGACACGCCAUGCAUAACAAUUAAAUUGUUCUGACCCACCAUGCAUAACAAGUAAAUUGUGCUGACACGUCAUGCAUAACAAGUUAAACGUUGUGACACGCCAUGCAUAACAAUUAAAUUAUUCUGACCCGCCAUGCAUAACAAGUUCUGGUGUGUAAUUUUAGACGUACUAUUUUAUAACGGCAGGAUAGAAUUUUGGCUUGGAAACAACUGAAAAAAUAAGGGAGGAUGGAUACAGAACAAUUUCAUGCUGAGAGCAAUUAGAUGGAUGGAAAAAUCUAUAUAUUCAAUGUUAAUCAAUGUAAUAUUGGGCUGGUGCAACCUGUGUGCUUGGAAGAGAAAGAUGACGAACCUGAAAAUUAAUUAAUGCCAACCUGGGUUGAGUGCAGAGACCACCAAAGUGAGCGGGGGAUAAUUACAAGUUGCCAAUUCUGAUCAAUGAGUAUUAUAUAUGUCGCCGUCAGAAUCGGAUUCGCCUAAAAUGAUCCUGGCGCCUCUGUUUAUGGUUUUUAUAAUAUAUAAUAAGUGUUUAAAAUGAAAAUUGGCCUUGGCAUAUUCCCAUUUAGUCGUUUAGGAUUUAGGAAUUAAUUCAGUUGAAGUCGAAACGGUUUUUUUUUUUAACUUCAGUGGAAUUCGAAACGGUUACCAUGGCGUGUCAGCUGUUGAAGCAAUAGCAUGUCACAGUCUUCUCACAUAUUCUAACUGUGGCGUGUCAUAAAUUCUUAACCCUGCUGUUUCACAAUCGUGACCCGAUGAGUGCAAGCAGAUUUAUGGCGUUACAUGGCAGACUUGAUGCAGUAUCGUGGGGUCACACGCGACGGCCCAAUUCUUAUGACACACCGACUAGAAGCAGAUUAAUGGCAUCACAAGCUGAGUAUCUGGAGAUUUAUGGCGUGACAUGGCACGACCCAAUUGUUCUGACACGCUGAGUGUAAGCAGAUUUAUCGGCUAACAAGCCGAGUGUUAGUAGAUUUACGGCAUCACACGCUGACUUCUUGCAGAUUUUUGGGGUGACACGUUGAGUGCAAGCAGAUGUAUGUGGGGACACGCUGAGUGGUAUCAUGUUUAUGGCGUCACACGUUGACUUCUUGCGACUAUGUAUCAAAUUAAAUAUAUUGUAUAUAGAAAAGGAAAAAACUUUUUGGUAUCAAAUUAAUUGUGUAUAGGCAAAAAAAUUAAUUAUAUAUAAAAUAAUUGUACAAAGUAUAUUGUGUAUACAGAAAGAAUUAUUUCUCUUUACAAUGAAUUGUAUAAAAUAAAUUAUGUAUACAAAAAAUGUGUAUAAAAUGAAUUGUAUAAAAAAAAUUCUGUAUACCAAAAAAAUUAUACAGACAAGGGCCUACAUGUUCAGGGUUGGCUCUCACAACUGUUGGAAAAAAUUUUCAGAGCAUAUUGCUGACUCAUUUUUGCAAUCAUAUUCUGCUUAAUUUCGAUCUUUUCUGAUUGCAAAAUAUGCUCCAUGUACCCUAUCAUGAACAUACAGCAGUUAACACUAUCAUUCUGCCGAUGCACUUUAACUUUUGGUAAAAGAAUAUGCAAUGGCAUCGGUGUCAAAUUUCAUCUCUUUCGACGUAUGUUGUUAUAAUAACCAGCUUGGUGGCAGAUGAAUGGCAUCAUUGUCGUCAAAGGUGUCAUCUGACCCGCACUAACUCCGUUAUCCUUAGCAUCUGAAGUUCUUGCUGAGUCCACCACCUUGAUUGUCCACCUCACCAAGUUGAUCUUCGCAACCACCAAAUGCCCACUAACGUUGCAAGGCGCGAGGAUGAAAUUCACAUCUUCCCAUUUUUUGGCGUACGUUGGCCUUUCACCCUCCACAUAGCCCCGCAACUCAUCUGAAAUUUGCAUUGUGGCUCGGGGCAUUUUCUGUUGGAAAUUUGGUGUGUAGCAUACGGAUGGUGUCCUGUGAAACAUGUAAACAUUAGCUUACACUUCAUGCAAUCAAAAACUUAGUAUUUAUAGAAUUGAACAAUUUUCAAAUAAACUUACGAAGAAUAUAGUGUCAACCACGCAUGCACGGGUAGUGUACAGCUUUGACUUCGGCCCUGUCAUUCGCUUACGGAGUAGGCUGAGGCAUGCGUCGAUACGUUCACUUGUCAAUUCCUCAUUGGGAUCCUCUAAAGUUAUGAAAAAGUCAACCCCUUGAUCCCCUAAGAUGCUGACGUUAUGCCUGCAUAUGUAACAUAAUGAAUUUCAUAAGUCUUGGUGGAUAAUUGUUUCAUUAAAAAACAGUAUUUGUAAUUUUAUUUACAAGCUUACCUCGCGGACUUCUCUUUCUUGAAAGCUUCGUAAUCUUCUAUGAUUUUAUCUCUCACAUCUCGACGGGUUACUAAGGGGUCGACGAAUGGGCUUGCCAUGUAUUUGCUCACCAUUUUCAGCCGUGCCCGUUCAGUUGGGUCUGAAAUUUCUGCUGCACCAUGAUGGACAGCAGAUGACUCUGGUGACGACCACUGUAUCUCAACAACAUCAGGAGUGCUCCCACGAUAAAGAACGAUAGCUCUUGCUGCUGCGUCGACAAAUGCAUCAGUCGGAGGAAGAUGCUCUCAUUCAGCAUCAUCUGACUGAAGGGUGACAUCCACUGCCACAGCUUUUUCGACGACAUCAUCAACAUGAGUUAUGUGCUCUCCGUUAGCACCAAGAACAUCAUCGUCAAUGUCAACACCAGGUUCAUGAUGCUGUCCAUCAUUAGCAUCAUCGUGCUUCAGACCAGCACCUUGAGAUGCACUGCCCUACAAAAUUAGAAAAACUGUUAGUUAGCUCAUAAAAUACCACAAACCAUAAACAGUAAAAUGUUGUGACACGCAGUGCAUACCAAGUAAAAUGUUGUCACACGUCAUGCAAAACAAGUAAAAUGUCGUGAGACGCCAUGCAUAACAAGAUAAACUUGGUGACACGCCAAGGAUAACGAGCAAAAUGUUAUGACACGUCAUGAAAAACAAGUAAAAUGUUGUGACACGCCAUGCAUAACAAGAUAAACUUAGUGACACGCCAAGGAUAACAAGCAAAAUGUUGUGACACACCAUGCAUAUCAAAUCAAACGUUGUGACACGCCAUGAAUAAUAAGUAAAAUGUUAUGACACGCUAAGGCUGACAUGGCAAUAACUAACUAUAAUACAAACGUCUUGACCCGCUAAUGACCAAAAACUAGUUAAACCACUACCACUUAACGCCAAAAACCAUCAAACCAGCAAGAAACACAGUCUAAACAGUUGCUAAACGUAAACCAUCAAAAUACAAGCGAAGAUAAAAUAACGUACUUGUGAUUUAAGGCCGUCAAGAAUCCGACCAACGAUACGGUCCUCAAGCGCCUGCAUUGCUACACUCAAUGACUGAAUUGAAGCCUUCAACUCCAACAUCUCUUUUUCAUGCUUACGCAUGAUCCGUCGGAGCUGGCGGGUUGUGACUGCUUCGUCAUUGACUAUUCUCGACUGGGUCAACUACAAUAGCAUAUAUAACUGUGUUAUUCAAUAAUCAUAUAUGAAAUUGUUAAACAUUAGCCGUUACAACUUCAAUAUCCUAACAGGCGGCUCGUUAGCAGUUUACGGUGGAGUCAGACCGAUCGGUGCUUGAGAACCUGUCAUCGCUUCCGCAAACUGCAAUUACAUAUAUAACUGUGUUAUUGAAUAAUCAUGUAUGGAAUUGUUGAACAUUAACCGUUACAACUUUAAUAUCCUUACCACAGGCUCAUUAGCUGUCUGCGGUUGAGCUGGACUGAUCUGUGCUUGAGGACCUAUCGUCUUUUUCGUAAACUGUAAUUAUAGAAAUUACUGUGUUACUCGAUAAACAUAUGUGGGAAUGUAGAACACAAACCGUUAGAACCGAUCUUACCGAUGGGUCGAUUCCACUUUGCGUUUGAGGAGGACCAGUGGGUGGUUUUGGAGCUGCUAGCCCAUGGUCCAACUGCAAACACAGAAAUGUUAUUCGAUAAUCACAAAUGGAAUUGGAGAACACAAAACCGUUACAAUUGUCUUUACCGGCUGUUCACUACCUUGACCAUGGUCGUCUCCUUUGUCCAUCAACUCAUCAAUUAAAGCAGCAACGGUGUGCAUCUGCUUUGUGCCACUAGAGGCUCUUUUCUCCUUCAAGCUUCUCAUUUUUUGCCUCGCACCUAAGCCCCAAUCCGACCGAUCCUCCAUGUGCCUUAUUAGCAAGUACUCGUGGCCCUCCGAUAACGGGACAUCAAGGUCUACAAAAUACUCCCGGAGGGCCUCAUCCGCUGUGGGUUCCAACGUCUCCAAUGCCCACAACUAUAAAAAAACAAAUAAAAUGUUGUCAUUAUCAAAUAAGGAAAAUUAUUAUACAAAUAUAACGCAAAAAUUAGCAGUUGUUCACUCAUAUGGCCAGAUGACUCUAACUUCUGAAUUGCCUUGUAGAAGUCUUUUGGCUUUUGAUUGCAAUCCCAUCUGCACAUUCAUGGGUGGACGUUGUCCUUCGGACCAGAGGGGGCAACUAUUUUUUGGAGGGCCGAAAUUGCCUCCAUUGUCCAUAACUGUAUGUCAAAUGUAACCAUUAUCAGACCGUAAAUCAUAAACGAGUACAUCCAUAAAUUUUUUGUUCAAAAGGAAACUGAAAAAUAUUACAUGAUAGUACCUGUAUCACCCAUGCGAAUCCGUAAAUGUUGUAGCGUAACCGAGUUUCCUUUGUCACGCUUGAGUCAGGCACUUUGAACCCCUUCAAAAGGUAGUCCAAGGUCAGCUUUCAAACAUAGUGCCCCCAUGGGAAGACAUUCCAAGUGUCGAUGUCCUCCACCAAUGACAGCAACCAAGGCGUCACCCGUUUACGGUAGUCUUGACCAAAUAAAAUGUUAUUCGCGAUCAAGACGAGUGCCAUCUUGGUCGCUGAAAGUUGCCCUAGCGAAAGGUAUCAAGCAAAGCCUGCAACUUAACAUUGUCAUGCCCGUUCCAGUAUCUUGCAUGAAUUCCCUCCGUAGUAACCUCGUACGGUCAUCUGAACACAUCGUGCAUUGGACCAAACUUCAGCCCGGUGAUGAGGCAGAACUCUUGCCUUGGUAGCCGCGCCUUACUCUUGCCAAUGGCAAACCAUAGCUCGUGGUCCAUUGACUAGCUCUCAGUGAUCCGACGAAUCAUGAUGCUGUGUAAGAGACCGACAUAAAAGUACCCCUGUGGAUAGAUGUCCAGAAGCAUUCCGAAGCAAGUAUGCUUAACUAGAUUGUACUCCCCCUUCUGUUGGAGAGUCUUUGUGAUGUAAUGCAGUUGCGACCACUUACAGUGGGUGUUAUUGCGACGUUGAACGCCCACUUCUCCCUCGGCACGAUCAGCAAACUGUCAAGAUCCUCAUACUGUCUACACUGGAUCUGCAAAACUUGGCACACAUGCAUCAGUGAGUUAAGUAGUCAUGUGCAACAAGGUACACUGAAGACAUAAAUAAGGAAUAAAUGUUGUGACACGCCAUGCAUAAUAAGUAAAAUGUUGUGACACGCCAUGCAUAACAAGUUAAAUGUUAUGACACGCCAUGCAUAUCAAGUAAAAUGUUGUCACACGCCAUGCAUAACAAGUAAAAUUUUGUGACACAACAUGCAUAUCAAGUAAAAUGCUGUCACACGCCAUGCAUAUCAAGUAAAAUGCUGUCACACGCUAAUAAUUAACUAUAAUAACAAUGGCGUCACACGAUAAACACCAAAAACCCCUAAAACCACUACGACUUAACUACAACAACCAUCAAGCCAGCAAGAAAACACAGUCUAAACAUUUGCAAAACAAAACAAAAAACCCGAAUAUAUCAAACAAACCCAGGAAAAAACAAAAAAAAUAACGAAUACAAGAAUGUUACGAAUUUGAGACUCACUGACCUCUUCAUUCAUGGCCGACAUUUUUGCUGGUGUUAUGGUUUCGUUUAGCUUGCAAAGAGCCUUCUCGAACACUUCGGUACCGACGAAAAUGAGAAAUGAAUCACACAAACAUUACGAAUUCUGAAUAACAACUAUUUAAAAUGAAAAAUGGCCUUCUAAUAUUCUUAUUUAUUCUGAAAAAGGGGAAUUAAUUCAAUGGAAGUCCAAACGAUUACCACGUUAACUACCCGUUUUUUUUUUCUCUCUUUAUUUCAAACCAUGACGUGUCAGCUGCUCAAGCACUGCCGUGUCACACACUCUAAAUCAUGACCAUGGCGUGUCAGCUUUUCAAGCAAUGCCGUGUCACACACUCUAAACAUGACCAUGGCGUGUCACCAACUAUGAACUCUGACGUGUCACACCUUCCCUCCAUGGCGUGUCAUCAACUCUGAACUCUGACGUGUCACAGAUUUCCUCCAUGGCGUGUCACCAACUCUGAACGCUGAAGUGUCACAAAUUCCCUCCAUGGUGUGUCACCAACUCUUAACUCUAGCGUCUCACAGAUUCUAUCCAUGGGGUCUCACCAACUCUGAACAUUGGCGUAUUACAGAUUCCCUCCAUGCCAUGUCACCAACUCUUAAUAUGGCGUGUCACAGAUUCCUUCCAUGGCAUCUCACCAACUCUGAACGUUGUUGUGUCACAGAUUCCCACCAUGGCGUGUCACCAACUCUUAACUCUAACGUCUCACAAAUUCCCUCCAUGGCGUCUCACCAACUCUAAGCGGUGCCGUGUCACACAUUCCCAACAUGAUGUUUCACAAACUCUAAACCCUGUCCUGCGACAACCAUCUAACAUAUGACUUGCUAUAGCAAGACCAUUUCCUGCUUUGGAUUCACAUCUUUCUCCUUUCAAUUCACCACCGUAUCAAGGAUUUCUGGUUUCACAUCAUUAGCCAAGCUUUCCAUUCAUGACGAUUGGUUCCUCGUUCGAUUUAAUAUCUCUAUUCUCCUAUUAUCUGAAUGUCAUGUCCCAAAUCUCUGAAAACCCAUCUCAUGCAACAUUAUUUUGUUUUGAACAACUUUCGAAAAAAAAUUGGGUAUUUUGCACAACCAAUCUUUGCAUAUUUAUUUUUUUUCUCCCAUUUUUCACCUGUUUGAGAGUGCACGCUAACGAAGACGGCUCAUUAAGGGCAUUUUUGUCUCAAAAUUUUUUCUGGUGGCUAAAAACAGUUAAAAUUAUCCUGACGGUUAUUUACAAAAACACGUUAUUUAUAAGGGCUAAAAAAAAAUCCCCUUAAUGUUUUAACUAUAGGCACACGGAUGAGAAAAGGAAAGAUGCCUCUGCUACUAACCCUAGAAGGGAAUUUCGUUAUUUCAUAUAUACAAACAGGUUUGGAAUUGCAGUAGUGGUAGUGGUAUAAUUAAUCCUGUAUAGGCAUACGACUAUGAGUUCAAUCUACCAUUAAUUAAAUCAGCUGAUCAUGUCACUCAAGCUGAUCCCAAGUUCUUCACCACUAAUCAACAUGAUUAAAAUAGUUUUCUUUGUAGCAUAAGCACAACAGAAAGUUUGUCGUGUUCAUUAUUUAAAGGUUAAAAUCAAGGGCUAACAAUUAAUAUAAUGCAUUUUGAUCAAUUAAUUUGCCUGCUCUAUUUCCCAGAAAAAAUAAUAUUACUAUUUGGUAAUGUGCUUCUUCUUAGAAAGAUGAGAAGAAAGCUUGUUAAUUAAUUAACAAUCUUCAGUUUCAGCUACCUUAACCUAUUUUAUUUUUUAAAGCAUUCCUGCAAACUAGAGAGAAAUAGUAAGAUAAUCCUCAGUUGAAGAUUAAAAUCAUUUUCAUCAUCACUCAGCGUUGUUUACAAUUUUGCCAGUCUCACUUAAAUCUAAAGACAAAAAGAAGGUGCUCUAGGAUCCCCUUUUGCUAGAAUGGGUUGCUUCAACUUGUUCAAUACUAAAAGGUUCAGAAAAGAAAGGUGUCACUUUUAAAGCAUCUUCAGUUUUUUAUGAAGUAAUGAUCAAGGACAGAAGUGAAGAAACGAAGAAUAAAUGCUAUCAGUACAAGAAAAGAAUGAGAUGUUUCCAUUAACUAAUAUGACCAAAUAUUAAAGCUUGGCGAAUCUAAAGUUAAUUGAUUCAUCCUAUCAAAGUCAAGAUUAGACACACCAUAGUUUUGCUUAGCUUAACUUGCAUCCAUUCUUCUCAAAAACCAUUGAGGGAACAGCAAAUCGAGUUGAAAAAGACUUGGAGAGGUCAUCAGGAUCAGCUAACACCAAGCCCUGAUCAAAAUUCUGCAUAUAUGUGUAAGGAUCAUAAGAAACAUGCACCCGAGUACUCGAUGAACAAUCAAAGAUCUUCUCCUUUUCCCUCAUCAGCUUUCUCCAUACCAUUCUCCACCUUGGCAGCUUUGAUCUAGUCACCAACACAUUGAUUGAAAGCAUCCGGUCAUACUAGCUUUUUGCAUAGCCUUGAUAGUUAGAUAGUUUGUUAAUGUUGGAUUUAUUAAUGAAAAGUUGUGACUCAAGAAUUAUAAAUAAUUACCUUAUUAAAAUAUAACUUUUGAAAGGUUAUUAGAUAUAAUUAUUGAAUAAUUGUAUUAUGAAAGGAAAUAACUAUUUGAAGAGUUAAUUCUGAAAAGAAACAAGUCUUUUCAUACUUUUGAAAAGUCAUAUUAUGAAAAGAAACAAGUCCUUUUAUUGAAAGACAUAUUCGUUAGUUUAUUAUAUAAACAAUGUUCUUACACUGUGAAUUUUACAAUUCUAAUAAGUGUAUUAAGGACUUUGUUGUAUCUUGGAGGUUGAAAAAAAUACUUUAAGGAAAGUGACAAUUCACUCCCUCAAAGUCAUACUUUUUCUUUUUCUGAAAAUAUUAUUCUUCUUCUCAAAUUUUUUAACAUUCUUAAGGUAUUUUUUCAGAACUUUUUCGCAAUUAUUUCAUGAUGGAGACUGGGUUGGAUUCAAGUGUGAAGGUUCAUUUCCAAAAUCAAGAAGUGAUCAAACUCGAUAAAUUCAAUGAAACGAAUUUCACUAGAAUGAGGGAUAAGAUGAUAUUCAUAUUAACCACAUCAAAAAUUUAUUAUGUUCUUGAGAUGGAUCAAACAUUAAAUCCAAAAAAAUCACAUCAAUAGAAGCAACAUUUUUUGAAAAUAUCGCUGCACAACAAUUACUACCAGAACCAUUCCUGAUGUUAACAUGGAGAAACGGAAACAUGAUGAGAUUAUAUGUCUUGGAUACAUUCUCAAUUUUCUCACUGAUCGACUGUAUGAUCUCUUCAGACAUAAGACUUUAGCAAAAGAAAUUUAGACUGCACUUAAGGAAACGCACAAAAAGGAGAAAAAAGGUGCAGAUAAAUUUUUUGCAUUGAGAUACUUUGAGUUUACCAUGACGGAUAUCAAACCAAUUAUGGAUCAAGUACAUGAGUUACGAAUUCUGGCCUCUAAAUUAAGCGAAUUGGAAAUCAGAAUUCUUGACUCACUUCAAGUGGGAGCAAUUCUAUCCAAACUUCCACCUUAUUGGAAUGGAUAUAAGAAGAAAAUUUUGUACUCUCCAGAAAGUUUUACUAUUGAAGAGUUUCAAACUCGUUUGCAUAUUGUGGCAAAAAAUCAUGCUAGAGAUGCACUCAUUCUUGGGUCAAAUAUAAAUUUCAUCAAUGAAAAAGAAAAAGGUUCUGGAAAAUUAAAAAGAAAUAGAACCAGAAAAUAGAUUUCAAGAAAUCCAAGAAAUAUACAAGUGAUAAAAUGUGUUAUCAUUGUGGAAAGAAAGGACAAUUUAUCAAGGAGUGCAAGUUCAAAAAUUAUGAAAAUCUUGAAAACAAGAUUACUGCUUUCGGUUAUAGAAAGAAGGUAAACCUCGUUGAACAUGAUGUUGAAGAGCUUGUUGCGAUGGUGAUUGAAAUACAUAUUGGAAUGGUUACCGAAGUAAAUAUAGCUACUGCAACAAAACAUUCAGAAUGGUGGUUAGAUUUUGGUGCUACUAUUCAUGUUUGCAAUGACAAAGGCAAUUUAAGAGUUAUGAAGAACUCAAGAAACUGAAAGAAUUUCUAAUGGGGAACCAUAAUCCUACUAAGGUACUUGGCAAAGGAACGGUUGAGUUAAAAUUUAUCUUAAGGUAGAAAUUAACUUUACUUAAUGUAUUCCAUGUUCUUGAAAUUAGAAACAAUCUUGUAUCUGCACAUUUAUUAUGUAAGCAUGGUUUUAUGAUUGUACUAGAAUACGAUAAGGUUGUAGUAUCGAAAAAUAUUGUUUUUGUUGGAAAAGGAUAUUCUUAUGACGAAAUGUUCAAACUCAGUAUCAAUGAAAUGAAUAAUUCUUUUGCAUAUACUGUUGAGCAUUCUUCUGACUUAUGGCAUGCUAGAUUAGGUCAUUUAAAUUUUCAAUCUUUAAAAUUUAUGUCAAAACAUGGUUAUAUUUCAUGUCAAAAAGAUAGUUUUGAAAAAUUAAAAUUUGUGUCAAGGCAAAAUUGACUAAAAAACUUUUUUCCAAAAAUUUGAAAGAAAAUUAGAAUUAUUAGAACUUAUACAUUCUGAUAUUUGUGAACUAAAUGGUUUACUAACAAGAGGAGGAAAAAGCUAUUUUAUACGUUCAUUGAUGAUUAUUCUCACUUCACUGAUGUUUAUUUAAUGAAAACAAAAGAUGAAGCAUUUGACAAAUUCAAAGAAUUUAAAACUAUUGUUGAAAAAUCAAAAGGAAAAGAAGAUUAAAAUUCUUCGAAGUUAUAAAGGAGGAGAAUAUUUUCCAAACUCAUUUUCUCUAUUUUGUAAAGAAAAUGGAAUAAUUCAUCAAAGAACAGCUCCUUAUACACCCCAACAUAAUGGAUUAGCUUAAAGAAAAAAUAGAACAUUGGCAGAUAUGGUAAAUAGUAGGUUGUUAAAUGCAAAGGCUCCUUUUAAUCUUUGGAGAGAAGCACUUUUAAUAGCGUGUCAUAUAAGUAAUAGAGUUACUUUAAAGAAAUUACUUAUGACAUUAUACGAAUUAUGGAAUAAUGGUAGAAAACUAAAUUUGAAUUAUUUUAAAGUGUGAGGAUGUAUAGUUUAUUAUAAAGUCACAGAUCCUCAUAAAACGAAAUUAGGACCUAUAGGCAUUAAAAGUAUUUUUGUUGGUCAUGCACAAAAUUCAAGAGCAUAUAGAUUACUUGAUUUAAAUUCUAAUGUUAUAAUUGAAUCUAUAUAUGUUGAUUUCUUUGAAAAUAAAUUUAUUUACAAUUCUAUUAAUGUUAAAAAAGAAAAGCAAGUUAAAAUGGCUCCAAUAGUUGGUGAAAAAAGAAAAGAAAUUAAUGAAUCUAUUGAGCCAAAAAGAAGUCAAAGACUGAGAAAAGAGAAACAUUAGAUUCUGAUUAUGUUUCCCCAUAUUCAAUUAUUUUUCUAGUUAAAGGAGAUAGAACUAAAAUAAUAAAUAAAACACCACUUCUACUAAGUGUAGAUGAAGACCCAAAGGUUUUAGUGAAGCAAUGUCUUCAAGAGAUGCAGUUUUUUGGAAAGAAUCUGUAAAUGAUGAAAUGGACUCAAUAAUGUCUAAUAACACAUGGGUUUUAGUUUAUUUAGCUUCAGGUUCUAAACCAAUUAGAUGUAAAUGGGUGUUUAGAAGAAAAUAUAAGACCGAUGGUUCUUUAGAAACCUUUAAAGUAAGAUUAGUUGCUAAAGGUUUCAAACAAAGGGAAGGCAUAAACUAUUUUGAUACAUAUGCUCCAAUAGCUAGAAUAACAUCUAUUAAAACACUUAUAGCAUUAGCUUCUAUCUAUAUGUUACAUAUACAUUAAAUGGAUGGUAAAACAACCUUUUUAAAUGGUAAUUUAAAGAAAGAAGUAUACAUAGAACAACCAGAAGGUUUAAUACUUCCUGAAAAUAAGAAAAAAGUUUGUAAAUUGGUUAAAUCACUUUAUGGGCCAAAGCAAGCUCCUAAACAAUGAUAUGAAAAAUUUGACUCAUCCAUAUUAUCUUAUGGUUUUAAACAUAAUGGAGCUGACAAGUGUGUUUACUCAAAAUUUACCAAAGAUUAUGGGGUAAUAAUAUGUCUUUAUGUUGAUGAUAUGCUAAUAUUUAGCAAUAACAGGAUCUGCACAAAUGAAACAAACACAUACUCAACCUUUAAAAUGAAGGAUUUGAAUGAGGUUGAUAUCAAUAAUAAUGGUUAUAUUAUCAAUCAAAGUCACUAUAUUGAGAAAUUGAUCAAUAUAAAAGAAUUUAGUACUCCAUAUGACUCAAGUAUGAAAAUCCAUGAGCAUGGUGACCAAGUAAUUGCACAACUUGAAUAUGCUAGUGCUAUUGGAAGCAUUAUGUAUGCUAUGCAUUGCACUAGGCCAAAUAUUGCAUUUGUAAUCUACAAAUUAUCAAGAUAUACAAGUAGGCCUAAUAAAAUUUAUUGGAAAGCCAUUGGGAGAGUUCUUAGAUAUCUUAAAAGAACAAAAAUUUUGACUUACAUUAUUUAGACUAUCCAGGAGUAUUAGAAAGAUACUCUGACGCAAGUUGAAUUACUAGUGCAAAUGAUAAUAAGUCCACUUCAUGUUGGAUUUUUACACUAAGAGGUGGUGCCAUUAGUUAGGCAUCUAAAAAAAAAACUUGCAUAUCACAUUCAACAAUGGAGUUUGAGUUUAUAGCUUUAGCUACAACAGGAAAGGAAGCAGAAUGGUUAAGAAACUUGUUAUUAGAUAUAGAGUUGUAGCCACAACCGAUGCCAGCCAUUUUCUUAUAUUGUGAUAGUGCUACUACAAUGUCUAGAGCAUAUAGUGAUGUCUAUAAUGGAAAAUCUAUACAUAUUAGUUUAAGGCAUAAUUAUAUUAGAGAAUUAAUCUUCAGUGGGGUAAUUACCAUAACAUCUGUUAAAUCUGUAAGUAAUUUUGUAGAUCCUCUAACAAAAGGUUUACCAAGGGAUUUGGUAAGUAGUGUUAUAAAAGGAAUGGGUUUAAGACCCUUAUUAGACACCAAUAACAAGAACCUAACUUUUAAUUAAUAACCUCUAAUUACAAAGUUCAAUGGGUAAAAAUAAGUCAUUGUUAUGUGUCUGUGAUGCACUAUUAGAAUCCAUUCCUCAAAAUCUUGUUUGAAAAUAAUUCAGUCCUUUGCAUAUAGAGGUUGAGUUUAUACUCUUAAUGGAGUUGAAUAUUAUAUUAUGGAAAGAAAAAUGUCUAGAGCAAUGGGGACAUUAAUGAAAACUCCACCUACAUAAACAUAAAGAGUGGUGUCGCUUCAAUAAGAAGAAUUUGGGAGAUUCUCUUGUAAAUGUUUAUUAUGGACAAGAUAAGCUCAUGGCUAUUAUGGUGCUAAAAGUGAACAACCAUUUACAGAAAUAUAAAUGAAUAUUAUGUAUGGUAUAUCUUCAAUUCUAACACUAGCAGUCGAGGUUCAAUCUACAAACACCAUCUACUUCAUUAGGGUCUUGAGAUGCAUUCACUAAUUGAUGGUUCAAAUCGAAAGAUACCUUCUUGUAUGCAUAAUAUUUGUUUGUGUGAAAGGCACAAAAUAAGUAAAUAAUAUAUAUAUAUAUAUAUUAUAAAAAAAAACAAUAUUUCAAACUAGUGGGGGAUUGUUAGAUAGUUUGUUAAUGUUGGAUUUAUUAAUGAAAAGUUGUGACUUAAGAAUUAUAAAUAAUUACCUUAUUAAAAUAUAACUUUUGAAAGGUUAUUAGAUAUAAUUAUCAAAUAAUUGUAUUAUGAAAGGAAACAACUAUUUGAAGAGUUAAUUAUGAAAAGAAACAAGUAUUUUCAUACUAUUUGAAGAGUCAUAUUAUGAAAGGAAAUAAGACUUUUUAUUAAAAGACAUAUACGUUGGUUUAUUAUAUAAACAAUGUUCUUUCACUGCCUAUUUCACAAUUCUGAUAAGUAUGCUAAGGACUUUGUUAUAUCUUAGAAGUUGAAAAAAUACCUUGAGGAAAGUGACAAUUCAUACCCUCAAAGUCAUACUCUUUCUUCUUCUCAAAUUUUCUAGCAUUGGCUCCAUCUCAACUCUUGAGUGCCUAAGCUGCACCAUUUGUUGAGUUUCAUAGAGAAAGAAAAGCUAUAGAAUAAGUGGUUUUAGAUCUUGUUCUGGCUUGAGUGUAAAGCCUCUGGGUCCAUUCAAUAGUGUACUUGUACAGAAGGAACAUGUUCAAAGUCAAACCGUAUGAUGCCCCUGAUAAUGGAAUGAUUUUUCAAAAUAAACGAAAUUUCAAGGUUAAUUUUACUUACCAUACUUGAUUUUUUUUAUGAAGGUAUUUCAAUAAGUUGAUCUUGAAAUUAUGCUACAUGUGAUGGUAAGUUUUUUAAAUGUUCCUUUGGGUUUACUACUAUAAUUUAUAACACAACUAUCUACAUAUGUAGUUGAUGUCGACUCCAUGAAUUUUUGAUGAUAACAAAACAUUUCCAUUCAUUAAUGUCUAACUAUACUACUUAAGUGUGCAGGAUAAAAAUGUAUGUCACGUAAUAAAAUAAUCACUUCAAAGCAAACAUCAAAACUCAUCAGAAUAAGGGGUCACAAAAUGAAUUACAAACAGAAGCCUCUUAGUCGGUUAACUAAAGGAAUUAGUUAGUUAAAAUCCAAAAGUGAAAAUCCAAGGUGAAGGCAGUCAAAUUUGUGAAGAACAAUUCAAGAAGUCUUGGGUGACUAACAUAUCUCAUGACUAAUUAAAGGCAAUGGAAGAUUAGCAUUAAUAAGCUAAGAGAAGAAUUAGUCAAACAAAGAAAAGUUGGUGAAGCUGGUUACUCUAGAAAUAGUAAGCUCUUAAUCGAUUAAAGUCUUUCUUAACCGAUUAACAGAGUAAAGCAGACUAGAAGACAGAGAAGACUUAACUGAUUAAAAAGUAUGGUUAGCCAGCUAAAAGCUCAUUGUCAAAAAAUUUGAAUUUGAAUGUCUGAAGACAAACUAAUGACUAGAAAGGAUUUUAAACUGUUUCCAACAAUUUGAAGUUGUCAAACAUCAUCAGUGUUGAUUUUUCAAGUACAAAAGACAUCUCUAACGACUAAGAAGAUUAUGAGAUGCUUCCAAGAACCAAAGAGAAUUAAGAAUUGCAAAAAUCCUCUCACUCCUUCUUCUUAUAUUUCACUCAAAUCUUUGUAAUAGAAUUUAGCACUUCAUCUUGUAUCAUUCAGAUCAAGUUAGUGAUUAUAGGUACAUCUUCAUAUCUGUAUUCGUUGAUUACUUAGAAUGUGCGAGGCACUCUAAGGGAUUUGAUCAAGCUUAGGAUAGCUUGGUUGUCGUUUUAGGUUCUAACUUACCCUUAGAAAAGUUAGUUUAGACUUUGGUUGAUCCCGAAAAAAAUCAUUGUUAAAGGUUGUGGCUGAGCCUGUGAAAAGCCAUUGUAAAAACUUGGUGGAAGCUUGUGAAUUUUACUGAAUUUAAUGAAGUAACUUAGAAAUCUUAGAUUAAGAGAUCAAGGUAGUAGAUAUAGGUUAAAGGGAUCGAACCACUAUAAAUCAUUGUGUUUUGUUUACUUUCCUUUAACUCUUGACACUUAAAUCAUUCUUCCAACAAGCUUUAAACUUCUACUUUCAAAUUACCUCCAUUAGCUCUUAACUUAGAAAGAAUUUUCUUAUCAUUCAGAAAGUGUUAUUCACCUCCUUUAACAUACUUUUUAGGACCAACAACUGAUGCAUUGCCCUGCAAAGUGACAAUUGGAAUAGUUCGGUUGAUUUGAACUGUCAAGAUUGAUUAAAAUUGAAUUUUAAUGCUUUUACUUCUCUUCAAAUCAUUAUUCAAACUUAUUAUGUACUCAUAAUUAAUGAAAAUGCUAAUUAUCCUAAAAAAUAUACUAUCUUGAAAAAGAAAUAAUUAAUUAUGGGAUGCAAGGGCUUCAAACUGCUGCAGCUUUUAGGUUUGGGAUUCAGGGCCCAAACAAGGUGUCCUUGUUGUUCCUUCCUUUAUUUUACUUGGUACAACCUUUGAAUUUAUUGGUUUUCUUUUAUUCUACCUAUUCUAUUUAUUGGGUACUAGCCUUAUUUGAUUCAAAUUCGACAUGAUCUAAGUUGGACAAUUUGAAUAAUUAAUUCAAAAUGAUCCAAAUAUGAAUAAUCAGUAUAAAUUUAAUUCGAUUAAUUUUAACUUGAAUCUAAGAUAACUUAAAUCCUAAUGACUAAUUCCUAAUAAUCUAAACCUGCAUGAUAUAAAUUUUAAUAAUUUAAAAGUCCAACUAAAAUUUGUCGAAUUUAAAAUGAACCAUAUUAAAUCUGAAUUUGAUCAUUAUUUUUGAGUCGUUGUCACCUCAUGAAAAAAGUUAGAUUUCUAAAGAAGUGUUUAUGAAAGGUGCUUCAUAAUAUGUAUAAAAAAAUUUACUCUGUAAUUGAGGAAGUUUCUUUAACCUUUUGGCAAGUCUCUAAAAGGUUACCUUAAUAAUUGACUCUCAACUCUUAAUGUGUUAAAUUUUAGAUGGGCAUCUAAAGUGAUAACAAAUAGAGAGGCCUUUGCUAUAUUUAUUUAAAAUAUAAAGAAUUUAAGAGAUGUGAGAUUAUCACCAAUUUAAUAUUCUCCCUCCGUUCAUGUGUACGUAGUACAGGCUUAUCACAUGCACGAGACAAAUAGAAAAGAGACUAAAGGAAAGGCCAAUAACAAACAAGGCAAUGCCUUUUUUUAAUAUUGUAUUGAAUUUGUAAGACGAGCAUUCAACCUUAAAUCAAUUAGUAAUAAGUGAUGAUAUUCUUGUUAUAUUAUAUACCCAACAUACGCCUAAUUUAAUAGACUUGGGAUUUCUUUUAUCACCGCUUCAAGAUUCUCCUUUAUGCAAAAAUCACAAAUCUAUCACACGACACGAAUCAACGAAAAGGCCAGCGAAUGAACUCUACUACUAUGUUGAAUUUUUAAGACUAUAUCCAACUUAAAACCAAAAUACUCCUAAUUUAUCUAGUAUAAAUUUCUUUUAUCAUCAAUCUAAUACUCUGCUUCACAUUUAAGGGCCACAGAUCUAUUACGUAACGUAAAUCAACGAAGGAGAGUGACAGAGGAGCUAACAAAUAGGAGUAGUGCCUACUUAUAUAUAUAUAUAUACAAAAAGAAACAAUUUUUUCUCUUAGAAUAGUUCAAUAUGAUCUAUGUUUUCAGUUGGUUACAAUUUGUCCUCAUCUAUUUUGUAUUGUCUCUUUUUCUUUUUGGGCUCCCUAAACACUUUUCUUAUCCCCAGAUCAAAUUUAAAAUUUUAAAAAAAAUUUAUCCAUACAUCAAACUUAAAAUCUAAAAAGAAAGGGCUCCCUAGACACUUUUCUUGUCCAUAGAUCAAAGUUAAAAUCUUAAAAUUCUUUUUAGUACAUGAAAAGGAACAGGACAUAUGUGCCUUACAAGUUUUUUGGAUCCUUUGGUUGGUUUGGCCAUUUGCUUUGCCAGUAGAUUGUGUGUCACGGUCCUAACAAUCCUGUGAAAUAUUGUUUAUUUUGGCCAACUAGCCUUACAAUUUUGUCCCACAAAAGGCACCUUACAAGUUAAAGGUGGUGUGAACAUAUGUUCAAUAUCACUCUAGUACAAAGUCAAUGUGGGAGUCAUGGCUCCCCUCUUUAGAACCAUAAAAUCCUCUCUUACUCUCGAUUGAGAGUUUUUUUUUUAUGUGAGACUUUGUGGCUCUACUCGUUGGGGGCAUUAUCUCGACGAUAUAGUCAUAGCGUGGAUAUUAUGAAUCCCACAUUGUAGAGUUAUAAGUCCCAUAUCAAUGAAAAGUUGAUUUCAUGAUCUUAGAGGGGAGUCAUGAAUCCCGCAUCAACUAUGUACUAAAGUGAUACUAAGCAUAUAAGAGUUCACACCAUUUUAACUUGUAAGAUGUUUUGUGAGAUAAAAACGUGAGUCCAAUGGGUUAAAGCGGUGGACCGUAUAACUAGCUAGAAAGGUGGACAGCAUGGGUGUGCACAAAAGGAAAGUCUUAAAGUUUAAUAUAAAUACGGUGAUCAUGUAGGAAAAAGGUUGGAAUAUAUACAAUUAGUUAUUAAUUUGAGUCUCUUAUGAGACUAAAAAAUAUUAAAUCACGAGAGGGAUGUUCCAAAAUUUUAAUUUACAAGAGCUGUAAUGGCUAAUAGGUUUCUAUGGAAAUAUAGUUUGAAAAGGAAUAUUAAAUAUAUGGUUUAAUUGAAUUUGUACACCAAGAAGAUUUUCCUUGUAGUUUCACACAAGAAAUCUAUAACUUUUUGCAUAAAUGGGAAUAUAUUAUACUCUUAACUAGUCAUAAGCUGAUAGGAAGAUCCACUUUAUACAGAUUAAUCAAUGCGUCCAGUAUGAUCGAAACAAGAUGUGCUAGAUUACUAUAUAUCAUGAUAUGCUGCGCACGUAUCAAACUUUACAAUCCCCAAACCCUUUUCAAUGUUUACAAACGCAGGUCUGGGAUACCGGUGAAUCUUUCAGCUUUGCUGCACUUCAUGCAAUCAACCGCACUCGAGGUCAUAUCCAGUGCUUUCAACUUCAUUUCUAAACAUAUUAAAACAAUUUAGCAAAAUCAAUAGAAUACUCUUUUCCAGACAUAAAC
RNAcentral lists this long non-coding RNA (25745 nucleotides) under Theobroma cacao (cacao). RNAcentral describes it as "long non-coding RNA (TCAC_LNC003997)". Lineage: Eukaryota; Viridiplantae; Streptophyta; Magnoliopsida; Malvales; Malvaceae. The record is from RNAcentral.